CAAGGUUUGGUCUCCCUAACCUAAGGUUUGAUGUCUGAGGCAUCAAAAGUGUUGUCCUCUGCUUUCAAAGAAGACAGUACUGAUGCCGAAGGCUGAUGAAGGCUGAAAAUCGUGUCAUCCAACAGUAUUUUGAGGGCAUCCAGAAUUGCCAUUAGAUAUACUGCACGAGGAGCCAUAGAUCUGGCCCUGCAUCAAUGAGCCAGCCGCCAAUGAGAACAGCUGUCUGACACCUUCACCUAGUCCACGGCCUCCUCAACCUGCUGGGUUCCUAAAUUGUUUCAGGGAAAAACUUCACUUGAUCCAGAAACAGAAACACAGAAAAAUCAGAGGAGGAAGAAACAUGGAAGACAUUCUAACUCACAUGGAGCUUCCGAUGACCCAGGCACGCGACACAGACCGAGCUAUAGCAGCAGCACAUGGAAGAGCCCUGCCUGUGGUUCAGACUCUGCUUAGAGAUGCCGUGCCCACCGCAAGUAGUGGGGUACAUGUGGGGCAGAAAAGCAUGGGGCCAGGAGAGAACAAUGAGGUGGAAAAAAUGUCUGCUCUUAGUUUGGGUCCAAGUUCAGAGGCUGAUGCCCCAUGCCCAGAUGAAGUUCCAGUCCAUGCUGCAUUCCACGGG
Molecule: long non-coding RNA, 619 nt
Organism: Hyaena hyaena (striped hyena)
Lineage: Eukaryota; Metazoa; Chordata; Mammalia; Carnivora; Hyaenidae
Exons: 3
Source: RefSeq, a predicted model, not a curated record